CAGUAGCCACGGGAAUACGUAGGUGGCAAGCGUUGUCCGGAAUUAUUGGGCGUAAAGCGCGCGCAGGCGGAUAGGUCAGUCUGUCUUAAAAGUUCGGGGCUUAACCCCGUGAUGGGAUGGAAACUGCCAAUCUAGAGUAUCGGAGAGGAAAGUGGAAUUCCUAGUGUAGCGGUGAAAUGCGUAGAUAUUAGGAGGAACACCAGUGGCGAAGGCGGCUUUCUGGACUGCAACUGACGCUGGGGCUCGAAAGCCAGGGGAGCGAACGGGAUUAGAUACCCGUGUAGUCCCUGUCUCUUAUACA
Molecule: ribosomal RNA, 301 nt
Filed under: uncultured bacterium
Lineage: Bacteria
Description: partial 16S ribosomal RNA
Rfam family: Bacterial small subunit ribosomal RNA
Source: RNAcentral